Molecule: ribosomal RNA, 498 nt
Filed under: uncultured bacterium
Lineage: Bacteria
Description: partial 16S ribosomal RNA
Rfam family: Bacterial small subunit ribosomal RNA
Source: RNAcentral
GACGAACGCUGGCGGCGUGCCUAAUACAUGCAAGUCAAACGAGAGCGACCGGUGCUUGCACUGGUCAAUCUAGUGGCGAACGGGUGAGUAACACGUGGGUAACCUGCCCAUCAGAGGGGGAUAACAUCCGGAAACGGAUGCUAAAACCGCAUAGGUCUUCGAACCGCAUGGUUUGAAGAGGAAAAGAGGCGCACGCUUCUGCUGCUGGAUGGACCCGCGGUGCAUUAGCUAGUUGGUGAGGUAACGGCUCACCAAGGCCGUGAUGCAUAGCCGACCUGAGAGGUUGAUCGGCCACAUUGGGACUGAGACACGGCCCAAACUCCUACGGGAGGCAGCAGUAGGGAAUCUUCCGCAAUGGACGCAAGUCUGACGGAGCAACGCCGCGUGAGUGAAGAAGGUUUUCGGAUCGUAAAACUCUGUUGUUAGAGAAGAACAAGUGCUAGAGUAACUGUUAGCGCCUUGACGGUAUCUAACCAGAAAGCCACGGCUAACUACGUG